UACGUAGGGAGCGAGCGUUGUUCGGAUUUACUGGGCGUAAAGGGCGCGUAGGCGGCAUGACAAGUCACUUGUGAAAUCUCUGGGCUUAACCCAGAACGGCCAAGUGAUACUGUCGCGCUAGAGUGCGGAAGGGGCAAUCGGAAUUCUCGGUGUAGCGGUGAAAUGCGUAGAUAUCGAGAGGAACACCUGAGGUGAAGACGGGUUGCUGGGCCGACACUGACGCUGAGUGCGCGAAAGCCAGGGGAGCAAACGGG
This 254-nucleotide ribosomal RNA is filed under the name uncultured bacterium. Its description in RNAcentral is "partial 16S ribosomal RNA". It matches the Rfam family "Bacterial small subunit ribosomal RNA", at positions 524 to 776 of the family's 1533-position model. The record is from RNAcentral.